CUAUGCGCCUUGCCAGCCCGCUCAGGUGUGCCAGCAGCCGCGGUAAUACGUAGGGGGCAAGCGUUAUCCGGAUUUACUGGGUGUAAAGGGGGCGCAGACGGCGAUGCAAGCCAGGAGUGAAAGCCCGGGGCCAACCCGGGACUGCUCUUGGAACUGCGUGGCUGGAGUGCAGGAGGGGCAGGCGGAAUUCCUGGUGUAGCGGUGAAAUGCGUAGAUAUCAGGAGGAACACCGGUGGCGAAGGCGGCCUGCUGGACUGCAACUGACGUUGAGGCCCGAAAGCGUGGGGAGCAAACAGG
This 297-nucleotide ribosomal RNA is filed under the name uncultured bacterium. RNAcentral's name for it is "partial 16S ribosomal RNA". It matches the Rfam family "Bacterial small subunit ribosomal RNA", at positions 475 to 776 of the family's 1533-position model. The record is from RNAcentral.